Molecule: transfer RNA, 70 nt
Filed under: Porticoccaceae bacterium
Lineage: Bacteria; Pseudomonadati; Pseudomonadota; Gammaproteobacteria; Cellvibrionales; Porticoccaceae
Description: tRNA-Ser
Rfam family: tRNA
About the family: Transfer RNA (tRNA) molecules are approximately 80 nucleotides in length. Their secondary structure includes four short double-helical elements and three loops (D, anti-codon, and T loops). Further hydrogen bonds mediate the characteristic L-shaped molecular structure. tRNAs have two regions of fundamental functional importance: the anti-codon, which is responsible for specific mRNA codon recognition, and the 3' end, to which the tRNAs corresponding amino acid is attached (by aminoacyl-tRNA synthetases). tRNAs cope with the degeneracy of the genetic code in two manners: having more than one tRNA (with a specific anti-codon) for a particular amino acid; and 'wobble' base-pairing, i.e. permitting non-standard base-pairing at the 3rd anti-codon position.
Source: RNAcentral
GGCGAUAAAUGAACUAUUAAAGGGAUUGAAAAUCCCUGUGUCGGUGGUUCGAUUCCACCUCUGGCCACCA